This 468-nucleotide ribosomal RNA is filed under the name uncultured bacterium. Its description in RNAcentral is "partial 16S ribosomal RNA". It matches the Rfam family "Bacterial small subunit ribosomal RNA", at positions 28 to 507 of the family's 1533-position model. The record is from RNAcentral.
GACGAACGCUGGCGGCGUGCUUAACACAUGCAAGUCGAACGGAAAGGCACUACUUUUGUGCGCUGCUCGAGUGGCGAACGGGUGCGUAACACGUGUGUAACCUGCUCUAGACUUUGGGAUAACUUCAGGUAACUGGGGCUACUAUCGGAUCGCAGACCCUGUUGCAUGGUAGGCGUUGGAACGUCGCGGCGGUUGGGGAUGGACUCGCGGCUUAUCAGUUUGUUGGUGGGGUAGUGGUUUACCCAGGAUUUGACGGGUCGCCGGCCUGUGAGGGUGACCGGCCACAUGGGGACUGAGAGACGGCCCAGACUCCUACGGGAGGCAGCAGGCGGGAAUAUUGCACAAUGGUCGGGAGCCGGAUGCGGCGACGCCGCGUGCGGGAUGACGGCCUUCUGGUUGUAAACCGCUUUCGCCUGUGACGAAGCGUGAGUGACGGUAAUGAGUAAAGAAGCACCGGCUAACUACGUG